RNAcentral lists this ribosomal RNA (442 nucleotides) under uncultured bacterium. RNAcentral's name for it is "partial 16S ribosomal RNA". It matches the Rfam family "Bacterial small subunit ribosomal RNA", at positions 338 to 795 of the family's 1533-position model. The record is from RNAcentral.
CCUACGGGAGGCAGCAGUGGGGAAUAUUGGGCAAUGGGCGCAAACCUGACCCAGCAACGCCGCGUGAAGGAAGAAGGCUUUCGGGUUGUAAACUUCUUUUGACAGGGAAGAGUAGAAGACGGUACCUGUCGAAUAAGCCACGGCUAACUACGUGCCAGCAGCCGCGGUAAUACGUAGGUGGCAAGCGUUGUCCGGAUUUACGGGGUGUAAAGGGCGUGUAGCCGGGUUGACAAGUCAGAUGUGAAAUCCUGGGGCUUAACCGCAGAACUGCAUUUGAAACUGUUGAGCUAGAGUACUGGAGAGGCAGACGGAAUUCCUGGUGUAGCGGUGAAAUGCGUAGAUAUUAGGAGGAACACCAGUGGCGAAGGCGGUCUGCUGGACAGCAACUGACGGUGAGGCGCGAAAGCGUGGGGAGCAAACAGGAUUAGAUACCCCUGUAGUC